CAGUCGCCGCGGGAAUACGUAGGUCCCGAGCGUUGUCCGGAUUUAUUGGGCGUAAAGGGAGCGCAGGCGGUCAGGAAAGUCUGGAGUAAAAGGCUAUGGCUCAACCAUAGUGUGCUCUGGAAACUGUCUGACUUGAGUGCAGAAGGGGAGAGUGGAAUUCCAUGUGUAGCGGUGAAAUGCGUAGAUAUAUGGAGGAACACCAGUGGCGAAAGCGGCUCUCUGGUCUGUCACUGACGCUGAGGCUCGAAAGCGUGGGUAGCGAACAGGAUUAGAUACCCCUGUAGUCCCUGUCUCUUAUACA
Molecule: ribosomal RNA, 301 nt
Filed under: uncultured bacterium
Lineage: Bacteria
Description: partial 16S ribosomal RNA
Rfam family: Bacterial small subunit ribosomal RNA
Source: RNAcentral